UAGCCUUGACAUUGAUUGAACACACUAGAGAUAGAGUGGUGCCCUUCGGGGAACAUGAAAACAGGUGCUGCACGGCUGUCGUCAGCUCGUGUCGUGAGAUGUUGGGUUAAGUCCCGCAACGAGCGCAACCCUCGUCCUUAGUUGCUAGCAGUUCGGCUGAGCACUCUAAGGAGACUGCCUUCGUAAGGAGGAGGAAGGUGAGGACGACGUCAAGUCAUCAUGGCCCUUAUGGCUAGGGCUACACACGUGCUACAAUGGGGCGUACAGAUUGUUGCGAUACCGCGAGGUGGAGCUAAUCACUUAAAGCGUCUCUCAGUUCGGAUUGGAGUCUGCAACUCGACUCCAUGAAGCUGGAAUCACUAGUAAUCGUAGAUCAGCAAUGCUACGGUGAAUACGUUCCCGGGUCU
RNAcentral lists this ribosomal RNA (407 nucleotides) under uncultured bacterium. Its description in RNAcentral is "bacterial SSU rRNA". It matches the Rfam family "Bacterial small subunit ribosomal RNA", at positions 976 to 1381 of the family's 1533-position model. The record is from RNAcentral.